GGGUUUGUUUGUGUCGGAUGUCGUGUUCUAUUAAUGCCAGAGCGCCGCCUUACGCAGAAAUUGUGUUGUGUAUAACCAGUGUUACUUCAGUGGAACGCAUUGCUUGCUUAGAUCAAGACUAUAGUCUCUUGUUUCAAUUUAUUGUACUACCAUCAAAAUGGAAACGGAAAUCAUACAACCUGUUGCUGCAUUAUCUAAUGUGAAUGCUUCACUUGGAUUGAUUCCCAAUAAACGUCCCAUUUGUGUCAUUGUUCUUGGCAUGGCUGGUUCGGGUAAAACAACUUUUGUGAAGAAGUUAGCGCAAUACCGCCAUGCAAAUGGCUCAUUGCCCUACUUAAUUAAUUUAGAUCCUGCGUGCCACGAAACUCCCUAUCCAGUAAACAUUGAUAUCCGUGAUACGAUAAAAUACAAGGAAGUUAUGAAACGCUACAAUCUUGGUCCAAAUGGAGGAAUAGUUACAGCUUUAAACUUGUUUUCCACUAAAUUUGGAAAAGUGAUUGAUCUGAUUGAAAAUGCACAGAAAACGCAUGAAUAUUGUGUUAUAGACACCCCGGGACAAAUAGAAGUAUUUACAUGGUCGGCAUCUGGCACAAUAAUUACUGAGGCGUUAGCUACUGCAUUUCCUACUGUUAUUGUAUACGUAAUGGAUAUCGUCCGUUCAACUAGUCCAACCACCUUUAUGUCUAAUAUGUUAUAUGCGUGUUCUAUCUUGUACAAAGCACGUUUACCUUUCGUUAUUGCAAUGAACAAAAUCGACAUACAGGAACAUAAUUUCGCGAUGCAGUGGAUGCAAGAUUUUGAAGCGUUUCAAGAAUCAUUGGAAAACGAGACUGCUUACAUAAGUAAUCUUACACGUACGAUGUCUUUGACACUCGACGAGUUUUAUAAAAACUUAAAAUCGUGUGGAGUUUCCUCAAAGACGGGCAUAGGAUUUGAAAAUUUGUUCAUGCUACUAAACGAAGCUGUCGAUGAAUAUGACAGUGAUUAUAAACAAGAGUAUAAUAAAUUACGAGCAGAACGGGUAAACAAUUCAGCAGAGCAUUUUACACAACCUCCAAACGGCGACUUGGGUGAAGAAGUGUCUUUUCGAAGCUAUAACAAUGAGAAAAAUCUAUGUAAUGAACCGGUUUAUUUAAAACAUCCUGCAAAUGAAAGUUCCGAUGAUGAAGAAGGACAAGAAUGUGAAGGUUCAAUCAUAACUACGGUGUUUCCAUUCUCCGAGGUAUAGUGAUUGAAUCAUUGAGGCAUUCAGAUCAAAAGACAUGAUUGUUUUCUUCUACACACGUGUUGAAAGUGUAUCAAUAAUAAUCAAAUUAUUCCCAGUGAUUCUAAAUAAUUCUGUGGUAGAGGUUCUACCCCGUUCCAUCCAUUUUAUCAUGCGUAGUAGUAUUUUAUUGUGUAGUUCAAAACAUUUAAAUAAAAAGACAUACUUCAAACUAUCGUGUACUUGCUUCGAACCAUCGUCCAAGUGCAGUUAAUUGCUGGCUUGAAAGAAUUGCAAAAUUGUACGCUAUGGACGAUGAACAAUUACAAUUUUUCAUUGUACAUUAACUCAAAAAUGCGUGAUACAAUGCAAUAUAGUGAAACAAAAGGAGCUGCAUAACUAGGACUAAGUGAACAACUUUAAAACAUGCAUAUAACAGGUUCAUAUUUCCCAUGGAUCGAGCCUCCAUACGCAGAUUGUUGGAUAAGGCUCAGUACGAGUUGUGUUAAACAUUUGAAAAAAAAAUUGAAUAAUUGAAUUUUAAUAUUUAUUCAUCCAUUGAAAGUAUAUCUUGCGGGAAAAAUAAUUGUAUGGUUCAGCAGUGGCAUUACAACUAAACUGUACUGUAAAACUGAAAUGAACUGCAACUCCUAUUGGGAAAAGUAAUGUGAUAAUAAUAUACACGGAAUAAGGAUAUUCCUGGGUCAGGGGUUCUUUUUUAUAUGAGCACAUGAUGAAGCUACAAAGUUAAAUGAAGUUAGUUUAAUUGUUUUUAUUAGCAUUUAGCACUCCUGAAUAUCCAUGGUUGCUUGGUACACAAAUAAUCUUGCAGAAGAUGGGGCACGGGUCAAUAAUAAGCCGUGACAGUGAGCCCUGUGGAUGGAAGACUCGGACCCAUAUGUCAUAUGAACAUGUCAUGACAUUUAGUAGUAGCUAUUCCAUAAGUUCAGAAUGACUAAAUUAAAUUUUCGUAUGUCCUAUAUGGUUGUGAAAAUGGUCAAUGAUAGCGGAAUAGUCAAACAUCUUCUUCUUUGCCACAACAACCGUUGUCGGCCAAGGCCUGCCUGCGCCACACCGGGGCUUGGUUUUUAGUGACUUUUUGAUAAACCAUAGCAGGAUAAUAGUCAGUCAUACUGGAAGUUGAACCCAUGAUUGACAUGUUGUUAAGUCGUUCGAGUUGACGACUGUUCCACGAGUCCAGCCGAUAGUCAAACAUACUGAAAAAGAAAGUGGACCACGAUUGCUAAUGUAAUGGAAACACUAACAUUUGUAAAUAAGACACAAAUAUGGAAGGGCUAUAAACCGGAAUCAGAAGAGGAUAGAAGCCUGUACCAAAAUAGCAACACGGUCAUAAAAAGUAUCAGUAAAUAGACAUCAAAAGAGAGCAGGAUUGCUUAUCUAUAUAGUUAUAUGCGUGGAACACAAAUACAGGUGCGACAUCACUGCAACAGCCUCGCACCCAUGCCGAUACGAUAGGAGCCAAUCCCGUCGCGUCAGAUCGGUAUCAUCAUCCAAGCGAUAAGCACGCAAUAAUCAUUUUGAAUAAAAGCUGUGGUUCCAUACUCAUAACUGGCGCAGCCGUUCCGGCCUUUCCUAAGUGUGUUUUAGUUUACCGAGUGAUAAGUGCAGAAACCUGCGAUUUACUUUGUGGUAUCAUCCGGUGUAAACCAUCUCCCGACCCGUGGACGACUUGCGGUGAUAUUCAGUGUUGUGUCGUGUCAAAAUUCAAGUGUUUAGUAUGCUACAAAUCGCACUGCUACCUGCUCCCGCGGUGCCAUAAUUAUAACUGCUAAAACUAGGGGCGAAAAAACUGCUUAGGCUCGUAAACUCUUGUGCGAGCCCACGCGUGCCCUCAAAAAUCGCUGUCAAUUGCAUGGCGGGAUGCAUGAACAAAAACAGACAUGCUUUCAACGAGCGUCGUCGUAAGUCGUUUAAACAGAAAAAAGAAACAAAUUUCAUUUCAGAUUCCUUGCGCGUUAUCACACUAAACACAAUAAUACUAAUGUCAUAUAACUCGCUGGAAUCGAUUUUAACAGCACCAUUAGUACUUUUACGUUUGGUAGAUGGAAUUGGCAUUCGGCUGUCAUAAUCGAUUCUAGCGAGCUUUCUGACUUAACUAUUCUCUCUAGUGUAAUUACGUGCAGGAAAUCGUGCCAUUUAGGGUUGAUCCAUUUCUGAUUGAACGACUCAAAUUGUAGCUUAUGACAAACGUGCUUUGACCUACCAAUCCCGAUUCCAUCUACCAGGCUUAAUGGCACUUGAUAUUUGCAGUUUUAUACUCACCGCGCUAUUUGCCAAUAUAUGCCAGUCGUGCCAGAAGAUCAACUUGAACAACUUAAAAAUAUUCUCGACAUGGGUUCCCGGAUUAAGCGUCCUCCCAUACGUAAGAAUGCCUAUCCUACUAUGUCCCAAAUCAAUCAAUCCCACACACUUAAAUUUUUUUUACCGAAUCUCGGUUAAUUUUUGCCAAGAUCUGCACAACUGAGAUCUCGGCAAAGAUCUCGGUUAAAUUUCUGUUGCUGAAAUCUCGGUUAAAAAAAGCAAAUAACAUUUUAUUCCGACGUUUACGUUUAACCGAGAUUUUCGGUUAGAGCAAAUCAAGAUUUUGGCUAAAUAUAAAAACAAAAUUUUAAUUUUUUUUAAAUUUUAGUGGUUUUAUUUGCGUAUCAAGUGGGUUUAUUUAGGUAACAUAAAUAAAAAAUAUGAUUUACUGGCAGAAAUAGUCAUAGCAGUCUGUGCCCAUGAUGAUGGUCGGUGUACACCUUCUGCAGCAUGAUGCCACCAUCGUGCCCCUUAAUGUAGCAGGACGGCAGGAAGUCACCCUAUUCUUAUGAGAGUUCUGGUGUGAUGGAAAGCGUAGGGACAGGCGCCGGUUCAACCGCUGGAUGGGGCACAGCGUUUGGAUGUGGUACAUGUACAGGAAAUUGAGCCGGGCAAGGAGGGGGCACUGAUACAGGCACGGUUCUGUAAAGCGGGCAGAGUGAAACAAGUCUGAGUGAACCCUGUUUAGAUUUCACGUGGUCGAGUGUUGAUACUUACCUCGUAUUUUUUUUCUUUGGCUCAACAACCGUUGCCGAUCAAGGCCUGCCUGUGCCACUUGUGGGCUUGGCUUUCAGUGACUAAUUGAUUUCGAAAUGAACUAUUUGACAGGUGAAAUAUCUGUCAGAUAACGCAUCACAGCAACCAGCUGAUGUGCAAUGCUAACAAAUAACAUGUACAAAAUCGCAACUAAAUUCAUGAAAUAAUUUCAAUAACAAGUACUUCGUUAAUUUCCAAGCAAUAAUUUAUCAUUUCUUCCAAUUAGGGAAUGUUCUGCUUAUUAAGAUAUUAUUUUUAUGAAAAUGUCGAAAGCGGAUGUUGUGUCACCACCAACCCAUUGGCGUUACCUAUCAGAUAUGUCGCCUGUCAAAUAGUUCAUUUCGCUGUAUAUUUCACCUUGUCUGGCCGCACGGUGAUGGUGCGGGCCGAACCAACUUGAUCCAUCGAUGGCGCUGUUGGAAAAAAAUCCGGCGCGGUUUGAUGCGUUUUCCUGAGGAAUGAUAAAUAUAUCGAGCAUUUUAAAAUGGUGAACAACACUUUUACACUUAAAACUUGCCGUACAGGUAUAUAUUUGACUGAUGCAAUAUGUAAGGUUGCCAACUCUACGGUUAAGUUUCGAGUUUUAUACGGACGUCACACGAAGCGUAAACUUUGGCGUAAACUGGAUUUCAGCCAUACAACCCUGAAAUCUUUUGACAGGAAGUUUACGCUCUCCCAUACAAAUCAAGCGUAAACUUUUUGAGUUUACGCCUCGUGUGACGUCCGUAUAAGACAAGCAGUAGCUCCGUACCUCGUUUCAUUCGUUUUGAUCUUUCAUCAGUUGAUGUUAAUUUUAUAUAGUUAGGUGUGUUGGAAAAUUAAACAAAAAAAAUUAAACCCACAAGUAGUAUUAUUGUCAGAAUAUUUCAACAACCACAACAAGAUUCUUCUUAUUUUUUUUUGUAUACCCUUAGUCGUCGAUUGUUUAACAACAACAUACUGCGUUGACAUCUUUCACGAUUAACUAACCAAUUUUCUAUUAACAUUUAAAGAUUUUCUGGCAAAGAUUUUAAAACAUUAGCAGCACAGCGCGAAAAUAAUUAGCACAAAGCAAAUUUGACUAUGGUCGACCAUAUGGUAAUACGACCAGAGGUAAAAAUUGUGAAAAUCAUAGUUACAAAGUAUUUAAUUUUAUUAUGAUUUCAAUAAUUCAAAAUAUAAUUAAAGCGUUUAUUAGCGCAUUAGCGUUUUCGUUUAACAUUUUAAUUAAUUUGAUUUAUCAUUCAUAGAUAAAACAAAGCUCUCUAUAACCGUGUAUUUACUUUAGCUCUCUAUAACAGCGGUCGGCAAACUUUUAGUCGGCCAAAUUUAGUAAAUGAUCUAAAGCCGCGGGCCAGGAGAAUGCGGUUUUUCUAUUAUUGUGAUUUAUUAAUUACAUUAUAUAAUUUUAGAAACAAAAUAUUUGGUUAAUGAUAUCAGGUAAUGCGAUAGGUAUUAUUGCUGUUUUUCUGUAAUUGUGUCAUCCAAGUAUGGUUCAAAAUUGAUAAUACCUACUUACAUUUGUUUUUAAUAUGCAAAAAUAUAAAUUAUAAAAUUUCGUAUGCGACCUUCAUUUCGAUAGUCUCAUUGUGGUGUUAAAAUAAUGUUAAUAAUAAUAUAGAAAAUGGACAACAACUGUCGAUUUUUUUAUGGGUUUAUCUUAACGCACUACUCUCUCUGUUGUUGGUCUUCUCACGAUAGAGCACGUCGAUGUGACAUGGCUCCGUCAACAAUAAUUCUCCAGGAUGCUCGGUCCCUGGCUGCAGCCUCCCAUCCAUGCAGACACCCGAUCUCCGUCAGGUCUCGCUUCACCCGAUCCAGCCAUUGAGUUCGCUGUGCUCCCCUACGCCUUAUGCCGAACUGGGGAUCGCUGUCGAACACCUUCUUGGUGGGGCAUGAGUCCCGUCAGGAUGCUCGGUUCACCGUACAGCUCAGCAAGCUCGUGGUUCAUCCUUCUCCUCCACGCCCCAUGCUCGAACCCACCGUCAAAGAUGGUCCGGAGGAUGCGUCGCUCUAACACGCCCAGAGCGUUUGCAUCCUCCGCUCGAAUGGUCCACCGAGCGAAUCAAUGUGCGAUACAUCUCACAUUUCGUGUUCGAAGUCUUCUGGAUCUCAGCAGUCGAUGAAGCCCACAAUUUGCACGAUUCCUCUGCACAAUGCGUCUCCGGAUUUCGCUGCUGAUGUCGUUUUCCGAAGUAACGACCGUUCCGAGAUAGCAAUACUCCUUUACUACCUCGAGACUGUCGCCGUCAACUAAUACACUGCUUCCCAGAUGAUCUGAGUCACCGGCAAGCAGGUACUUCGUCUUCGUCGCAUUGUUUCUCAUUGCAUUGAAACCGUUAAUUGCACUUGGAGUAGUAGUAUCCCAUUAGUUAGCAGACAAAAUUUGACACCUCUAUCAGUCGAACUCUAACCAUGAUGGCCAAAAAAGUGAAUCAAAAGCGUGCGCGAUCAAAGAAUGGCACCCCGUAGCGUCCAAAAUCGACUCCGUGCGGAUGUUUUUGGACGUCGUAUAUACCCGUUUUGGCAUUUUGGUCGCCAACAUCUUGGCCAACAUCAGGCAACAAUCAAAGCAUCGAAAGAAAACCCAGGUUCAUUAAGGUUUCAAAAGAAGAUGAAAUGAAGACAGAGAGUCAAGUGGCUACAUUACUGCGUUAGCUGGACCGGGAUAUCGAUGCAACCCACCAAACACUUAAAUAAUACCUGGGAAACAUAGAGAAACAGAUCAGGAAUUAGAAAUCGCAUCCACUGGCUUCGCAGUAGCAAACAAUUACGCAAAAACUCAAUGCAAUCAUUUCAGGUGAAUUUCGACAGAAUUUCGAUAUAACACCCUAGUCCGCAAACUGGUCCAACAUUCGUCACCUGUGCCCCAUCGAUUUUUUUCUACGCCAACGUGAUGCAAGAAAUUUACUCUAACAAUUUUGUAGCGAAAACUUAGGAUGAAUUGAUGAAAAUCGAAGGUAGAACUUAAAUCAUGCAUGUCUUCGUCCACCAUGGUGAAAAUUCCUAAUACUUGACAUAAGGCAAUUCGCAAAGUCUUGAACAUAUUUGUGCAAGUAAUCUGAAAUAAUUCCCUUUGAACAGAUGUAAAUGUAAAGAAAUUAUCUUUCCUAGUUUUUUCCUACAGCCAGUCGAAAAUGGCAUAUUUUUUCAUGCAAAAGUUACGGGGAUAUUGACCUCGAGUUCGAUACAUUGUACUUUUCCAACGUUUAAAUAAACAACUAUGGAAUGAUGGACCGUUUAGUUAAAAGUUGAAAAAGUACGAUGGUUUAAUAUGGUAUACUUAAAGAUCUUCAGUAAUUUGUGUACGAAUUGUUUCUUCCCAUCUUUCAAAAUCAGUCAAAUCCUUUCGCGGGCCGGAUUGAAUGUUGCGACGGGCCGGACUUUGCCGAGCGCUGCUCUAUAACCAUUCGAAUCUGAGCUACUGAAUUCCCUCAAGUGAUAGAAAACCCAUCCAUCGAACCCAUUGUACACACAAAUUAUAUAAUUUUGACAGGAAUUCAAUGGGUUCGCUACUGGCGCAUGGCAUGUGUAAACAGGGAAUAUUACUGAAUUAGAUAUCACUGUAUUAAUAUUCUUGUUGCUACGGGUGUAGCUUUAUGUUUAUUUCAGUUGCUGCUACAGAUUUUUUGUAACUGUCGCUCGCGUAUUUAGGGUUCCGCCGAUCAGUUCAAAAAUUGGUCUGCCUUUUCUUGUCUCUAGUUUGCAACUAAGCGUCUUCAAUGGUGCUUUGUUUUUCACCAGCUGAUCUACUUGACCCUGAGUAACCUCGCUUAGCGACCUUUCUCGAACUUUACCCUUAUUGGUUAUGUUUCUCAACUUAGCCAGUUGUUUCAUAUUUGGGAUAUAUGCCCUAUCCGCAAAAGGCGGUUUUCGCUGCGAUUUACGACCUAGCGAAAACGUUUUUUUCACGAUUUGUAUGGAGCGAAGACACACACCCAAAUUAUGGUCACAAAUUAUGGAUGGAAAGUUAAUGGUUCUGACUUCUGUUUCACUCUCGCUCACAGAGGAUGAUCUCCCGUCGCAUUCUUACAAUCCCACCGGCUCUACAGUUUGGUUGUUGCUGCUCUUUCUCGCACGUGAGGAAGUUUUCUUUCUCCUUGUUUUUCCCGUGUGUGGCAUUGGCUGCGAACGAUCAGUAUCCUCAUAAUCCGUUAGUUAGUUAAAGAAAAAUUGUUAGAAGCAAUGGCUCUGGCACACCAAAUUCUGCACAAAUUCGUGCCCGUUUAUGUGCCACGCUGUACGGAAAACGUUUUGUGAUUAGCACAACCACAAACACAGUAUUAUAAUGUGUGUAGAUUUGGAACAAAUGGUGGUAAACUUUUUAUGCGAACGAGCAGCAAUUAAAUGCCGCAUAUUGUAUGCCCUUUAAACCAAACGGCAGAAUGCUUUUAAUCGUCACUCAUUUGACGCAGUCGAUCAUCACUAAGAGACCGAAUCCUAUGAUCGGUCCUAUGAUACGAGAUCGAUUCUCAUCCGGACCAUUCCCCCGAUAGCAAGAACCGAGUAUCCGAUAGCAUGAUUUAAGUAAGGUUAAGAAGCCGUUUCAGCCCUGUCCACAGUAUUUUUCGUUACGUCAAAGAAGAAGAAAAAAAUUGUAUGGGGAGGCAAUUGGCUUGGUAUGCAGAGGGCAGGGAGCUGUGGGGUCUUAUCGGCCACGGGCUGUGGUUCGACUACGUGGUUCCAAGGAGCGCUGAUAUGUGGUCAGCGGGGCGCCAGGUAGUUUGGAAGGUCGAUUCGUGAGAGCAGCGAUUUGGAAUGGAAUCGCACCUCCCAAAUGAUCCGGAUGGUUCCGACCCGGUAGGUUGACCCGCAUCCAGUUGCGUAUUAGCACGAGUGGAAGCCCUAAACGGACACACGGCGGCAAGUUGAUCAUUCGGAUGUGUCGAGCGAGAAGUUGUAAGAGGAAUUCUAAACCAGUGAAGGAUUGCGAAGCACUUUUAUUUCUGUGUGGGGGGAUGGGUUCCCUUCCUCGAGGCCCCACGUGGCCGCUUGGUUUGCGUACUGGUUGAACCGCCCCUGCCCGCACCUUACUAUUGUUUGCCUGAAGCACGGCAAAUACAGUUUAAAUUUUACAUUUAGUUUACAUUUACAUCCUAAAGCAUACUAGCCAUUUUGAAAAGCAACACGAAUACAAAGGAAAGAAGGGGAAGGGAGUAAGGGAAAGGUGGGCAAACAAUAGCGAAAGGAGGAGCGGGAAAGGUGAUUAUCGAAGAGGUGAGAUGAAAAGAUGAAGGCGUGGGUUGCGUGCAGCAGCGCGCAUUGUUCUGGAGCGACGAUGGGUUCUAAACAAUGGGGGACGAGAGCAAAGCGAGCUGAAGGGAGCAUACAGGAACGGGAAGGACAUACAGGAAGGGAGCUACAUGAAUUUUUUGUAGGUCGAUGUUCUUCCUUCCAGCCACACUUUGGAAAGAAAUUUUGGAUAGUUAGCCCUUGCUACGAGAGACGGUUCGCACGAGGAUUGAACCGAAAACGAGCAUGUUGUUAAUUCGUGCGAGUUGACUUUACCUGUUACUAAUUGGUUUUCCGGGACAGCGGGAUAGCCAGUCCUGGGUCACUAUGGCCACGCAACGGGGCUUGAACCUAGGACGGGUAUGUUGUUGUGUUGUGUCCGGGCAGCACGAUAACGAGGGGCAGCCAAAACCAGCCAAGCCAUCCAUAGAAUGCGGGGACGCGUGGCGUAAUGGAGCAGCUUGACGCGUGGCUCCGGCUGCAUCACCGACAUUAGAGGGAAGGGAGGGGAGAAGGGGCCCGUCCGCCACAGCCAAUCCCCGACCGCAGCCGCGGCGCUAUCGACAAUGCAUGCAGCAUAAACAUCCCUUACGCAUACUGCGUCAAUGGUGAGUGCAGCGACGGGCUAGAACACAACUCUCUAUGCCACCCUCCAAAUAUGGAAACUGUGAUGGAAAACCCAUCCAUCGAACCCAUCGUACACACAAAUUGUAUAAUUUUGACAGGAGUUCAAUGGGUUCGCUACUGGCGCAUGGCAUGUGUAAACAGGAAAUAUUACUGUAUUAGAUAUCACUGUAUUAAUGCUCUUCUUCGUAUUCUUCAUUAAGAGACGACGAAGCGGAAGAAAUAAACUUCAACAAUUAUAUUCAGCAGCACCGUCGUCAACAAGCUGAAAAACAUGGAAAACAAUUCAACAAAUCAUUGUGAAAAUUUCUGUGUAAUAAAUUUCAAUUCCCCGUGCAAAAAUCCA
Anopheles gambiae (African malaria mosquito) is the source of this 10463-nucleotide RNA transcript. It is a transcript of the gene named GPN-loop GTPase 1, with no coding region annotated. The transcript has 6 exons. The record is from RefSeq and is a predicted model, not a curated record. NCBI's taxonomy places the organism in Eukaryota, Metazoa, Arthropoda, Insecta, Diptera, Culicidae.